RNAcentral lists this ribosomal RNA (253 nucleotides) under uncultured bacterium. Its description in RNAcentral is "partial 16S ribosomal RNA". It matches the Rfam family "Bacterial small subunit ribosomal RNA", at positions 524 to 776 of the family's 1533-position model. The record is from RNAcentral.
UACGUAGGUGGCAAGCGUUGUCCGGAUUUACUGGGCGUAAAGAGCGCGCAGGCGGUCGGAUCAGUCGAAUGUGAAAGCCCCCGGCUCAACUGGGGAGGGUCAUUCGAUACUGUCCGACUCGAAGGCAGGAGAGGGAAGCGGAAUUCCCGGUGUAGUGGUGAAAUGCGUAGAUAUCGGGAGGAACACCAGUGGCGAAGGCGGCUUUCUGGCCUGUUCUUGACGCUGAGGCGCGAAAGCUAGAGGAGCGAACGGG